CUAAUGAAGUCGCAGAUCUCCUGGCUGUUCACCAUGAAGUUAAUACCGUCUGUAGUAAGGACCAGGAAGCUGUCGUCUGCAUGAUGCAACUGCAGUAAAGGCAAGCAGUGUGGGUAACAAUGAAGAGAGCGCUGCAAGGCAGAAUGUCUUAAUUUUUUCCCUCUGUUGCAAAGCACUUUUUAUGGGGGUGCUGCACGUUCCCUGCUUUCUGCACAAGGACUUCCAGUUCUGGAAAACAAUCCUCUGAAUAGUUUGAGGCCAAAAGCCAAGACCCAUACGUUACCAAGUAAAUGAAACGCCUCCUUCAACUGAGGAUUUCAAGGCAGAGAUGUUACCACUGAGAUCAGCUCACUAAAUUCCUCUGGCCUAAUGGACAGUGUUUUGUGUUUGGUUAGUACCAACCAAAUUUAAGUUCCCUCAGCACUGGGAUGCACUGGGGAUGGGGGAAAAAUACCAAGUAGAAUAUGAGAUGAGAAGGAAGCUUUCUUUCUCGUAAGGGUAGGAGCAAACCUGAAGGCAACUGUGCUGAAUGCAUUCUGGAUGGUUACUCUGUUUCCUGAACAACUGCAGAGCCAUGGCCCAACCCCGCUGCAGGAGAACAAAACCACAUCCUGACCAAGGCCAGCCCCAGGGAAGCCACGACAUCAGCUGACAGGUAUGUUACUGCAAUGAAGACUUGGUUUAGCUAUACACUUAACCAAAAUGUCAAUCGUGAACAUCAACCAUCUCCAGGUCAAAUCUCUGACUACGUUAUGGCUGCAGUGCAGACAACGAUAUACAAAACCGUUUAGAUGCCAGUAGCUUCUGAGUAUUCAGAUCUUUCAAUAGGUUCUUAACACUCACUGGACAUUUUUUACUGCAAGUCAUCUCAACUAAUGUGACAAAGAGGAUGUGGGAACCUUCCAGUAGUCCAGGCUAGGAACCGCCGGACUCCUUCACCUGGGACAAAAUUAAGCAGAUCUCUCUUUCCACUGAAGCCCAGCAUAUAGUGUCCAGGGCCUCCAGUUCUAGAGCUGCUGACCAGAAGUCAGCUGCUGCUGCCCCUCCGUGUCCAUCAUAUACUGCAAAGUAUAGGACAUCCUCCGUCAGCUGAGCAUAAUCAAAUCGGU
Non-coding RNA from Struthio camelus australis, 1109 nucleotides. The record is from RefSeq and is a predicted model, not a curated record. NCBI's taxonomy places the organism in Eukaryota, Metazoa, Chordata, Aves, Struthioniformes, Struthionidae.